Molecule: long non-coding RNA, 207 nt
Filed under: Capsicum annuum
Lineage: Eukaryota; Viridiplantae; Streptophyta; Magnoliopsida; Solanales; Solanaceae
Description: long non-coding RNA (CANN_LNC013183)
Source: RNAcentral
AAAUGUUUUGAGGGGUAGAAGGUCGACUCCUUUGGCUUUCCACACGUUCUAAUCUCCCACUCAUUGAUGCCACAUCCGUAUCUAAUUUCUCAAGACCCACAUUCAACCUAGCCACAUCUCGGGACAUAAUUUCAAGGCGAGCCAAAAUGAGAUUGAUGGCAUUAUUAUCCAUUGUUUGAGCAUUUGAAUCCUCGGGUUCCAUUGUGG